Molecule: ribosomal RNA, 465 nt
Filed under: Vreelandella stevensii
Lineage: Bacteria; Pseudomonadati; Pseudomonadota; Gammaproteobacteria; Oceanospirillales; Halomonadaceae
Description: partial 16S ribosomal RNA
Rfam family: Bacterial small subunit ribosomal RNA
Source: RNAcentral
CCUACGGUGGGCUGCAGUGGGGAAUAUUGGACAAUGGGCGAAAGCCUGAUCCAGCCAUGCCGCGUGUGUGAAGAAGGCCUUCGGGUUGUAAAGCACUUUCAGUGGGGAAGAAAGCCUUGGGGCUAAUACCCUCGAGGAAGGACAUCACCCACAGAAGAAGCACAGGCUAACUCCGUGCCAGCAGCCGCGGUAAUACGGAGGGUGCGAGCGUUAAUCGGAAUUACUGGGCGUAAAGCGCGCGUAGGCGGUCUGAUAAGCCGGUUGUGAAAGCCCCGGGCUCAACCUGGGAACGGCAUCCGGAACUGUCAGGCUUGAGUGCAGGUGAGGAAGGUAGAAUUCGCGGUGUAGCGGUGAAAUGCGUAGAGAUCGGGAGGAAUACCAGUUGCGAAGGCGGCCUUCUGGACUGACACUGACGCUGAGGUGCGAAAGCGUGGGUAGCAAACAGGAUUAGAUACCCCUGUAGUC